GGGGGUGUAGUAUAACCUGGUCAGUAUUCGAGGUUUGGGACUUCGCGAUCCCGGUUCGAAUCCGGGCACCCCCA
RNAcentral lists this transfer RNA (74 nucleotides) under archaeon. RNAcentral describes it as "tRNA-Pro". It matches the Rfam family "tRNA". From Rfam's summary of the family: Transfer RNA (tRNA) molecules are approximately 80 nucleotides in length. Their secondary structure includes four short double-helical elements and three loops (D, anti-codon, and T loops). The record is from RNAcentral.